This 219-nucleotide ribosomal RNA is filed under the name uncultured bacterium. RNAcentral describes it as "partial 16S ribosomal RNA". It matches the Rfam family "Bacterial small subunit ribosomal RNA", at positions 28 to 241 of the family's 1533-position model. The record is from RNAcentral.
GAUGAACGCUAGCGGCAGGCCUAAUACAUGCAAGCCGAACGGCAAGUUGAGUAGCAAUACUUGACCUAGAGUGGCGUAAGGGUGCGUAACACGUAUGCAAUCUGCCCCUCAACAGGAGGAUAGCCUCCCCGGAAAGGGGAAUUAACCCUCCAUGGGAUCUUAGAGUGGCAUCACUUAGAGAUUAAACCGCAAGGGGUUGAGGAUGAGCAUGCGCAUGUA